This 148-nucleotide non-coding RNA is filed under the name Homo sapiens (human). The record is from Rfam by way of RNAcentral. Lineage: Eukaryota; Metazoa; Chordata; Mammalia; Primates; Hominidae.
GCCAGGCAUGGUGGCGCAUGCCUGUAGUCCCAGCUACUCAGGAGGCUGAGGCAGGAGAAUUGCUUGAGCUCAGGAGGUCGAGGCUGCAGUGAGCCGUGAUUAUGCCACUGCACUCCAGCCAAGGCAACAGAGCAAGACCUUGUCUAAA